CGUGGAAUGUUUACUUAUUAUUGAUAUAUCUAUAUAUUACGCGCUAAAGCAGUCCUUUUUCCCCCACAUCCCCUCAUUGCACCUACCAAAUAAUACUCAAGAGAUGUGGUAGUCCAGUAAUGCUUGCAUUUUGUGAUUUCUUUUUGCUACCUCAAUGCAUUUGUGGUAUUCUCUGAGUUUUGUAUGAGACAAUAGCCAUUUG
This 202-nucleotide unclassified non-coding RNA is filed under the name Hevea brasiliensis (rubber tree). Lineage: Eukaryota; Viridiplantae; Streptophyta; Magnoliopsida; Malpighiales; Euphorbiaceae. The record is from RNAcentral.